UUUCUAUAUCUACCUGGAGGAGCUUGCUAUCUAACCGAUAAUCCACGUAAUACCUCACCAACUUUUGAUAUACAACCUGUAUACCAUCGUCGUCAGUCUACCUUUUAAAAGUAGUAUACAUAAUGAACUAACCCUUCUUAACGUCAGAUCGAGGUGCAGUUAAUAAGUUGGGGAUUAGUGAGCAACAAUAAUUUACCAAAAAAUAUAAAUAUGGAAAAAUGAAUGAAACAUCACUUAAAAAUAGAAUUCAAUAGUAACGACUAAAAAAAGAUAAUAGCCGUGAACCCUAGCCCUAGAAUACGC
RNAcentral lists this ribosomal RNA (303 nucleotides) under Brisingaster robillardi. RNAcentral's name for it is "partial 12S ribosomal RNA". The record is from RNAcentral. Lineage: Eukaryota; Metazoa; Echinodermata; Asteroidea; Brisingida; Brisingidae.